GUGGGGUGCAUUGAAUGGCGGCGUGGCGAGAUUCGCCGACGCGCGGGUAAACGACGGGAGUAACCAUGACACUCUUAAGGUAGCCAAAUGCCUCGUCUUCCAAUUAGAGACGCGCAUGAAU
This 121-nucleotide non-coding RNA is filed under the name Trypanosoma theileri. RNAcentral describes it as "Eukaryotic large subunit ribosomal RNA". It matches the Rfam family "Eukaryotic large subunit ribosomal RNA", at positions 2200 to 2320 of the family's 3401-position model. The record is from Rfam by way of RNAcentral. Lineage: Eukaryota; Euglenozoa; Kinetoplastea; Trypanosomatida; Trypanosomatidae.